This 420-nucleotide ribosomal RNA is filed under the name bacterium. Its description in RNAcentral is "partial 16S ribosomal RNA". It matches the Rfam family "Bacterial small subunit ribosomal RNA", at positions 355 to 776 of the family's 1533-position model. The record is from RNAcentral.
UGGGGGAUAUUGCACAAUGGGCGAAAGCCUGAUGCAGCGACGCCGCGUGGGGGAUGAAGGCUUUCGGGUUGUAAACCUCUUUCGCUAUCGAACAAGGCCCGCUUAGGGUGGGUUGAGGGUAGGUGGAGAAGAAGCGCCGGCUAACUACGUGCCAGCAGCCGCGGUAAUACGUAGGGCGCGAGCGUUGUCCGGAAUUAUUGGGCGUAAAGGGCUUGUAGGCGGCUUGUUGCGCCUGCUGUGAAAACGCGGGGCUUAACUUCGCGCGUGCAGUGGAUACGGGCAGGCUUGAGUGUGGUAAGGGUGACUGGAAUUCCAGGUGUAGCGGUGGAAUGCGCAGAUAUCUGGAGGAACACCGAUGGCGAAGGCAGGUCACUGGGCCAUUACUGACGCUGAGGAGCGAAAGCAUGGGUAGCGAACAGG